Molecule: ribosomal RNA, 373 nt
Filed under: uncultured organism
Description: partial 16S ribosomal RNA
Rfam family: Bacterial small subunit ribosomal RNA
Source: RNAcentral
GUAGGUGGCAAGCGUUGUCCGGAAUUAUUGGGCGUAAAGCGCGCGCAGGCGGUUCUUUAAGUCUGAUGUGAAAGCCCACGGCUCAACCGUGGAGGGUCAUUGGAAACUGGAGAACUUGAGUACAGAAGAGGAAAGCGGAAUUCCACGUGUAGCGGUGAAAUGCGUAGAGAUGUGGAGGAACACCAGUGGCGAAGGCGGCUUUCUGGUCUGUAACUGACGCUGAGGCGCGAAAGCGUGGGGAGCAAACAGGGAUUAGAUACCCGUGGUAGUCCACGCCGUAAACGAUGAGUGCUAAGUGUUAGGGGGGUUUCCGCCCCCUUAGUGCUGCAGCUAACGCAUUAAGCACUCCGCUGGGGAUACGGCCGCAAGGCUG